RNAcentral lists this ribosomal RNA (1536 nucleotides) under Enterobacter cloacae. RNAcentral's name for it is "bacterial SSU rRNA". It matches the Rfam family "Bacterial small subunit ribosomal RNA". The record is from RNAcentral. Lineage: Bacteria; Pseudomonadati; Pseudomonadota; Gammaproteobacteria; Enterobacterales; Enterobacteriaceae.
UUGAAGAGUUUGAUCAUGGCUCAGAUUGAACGCUGGCGGCAGGCCUAACACAUGCAAGUCGAGCGGUAACACAGAGAGCUUGCUCUCGGGUGACGAGCGGCGGACGGGUGAGUAAUGUCUGGGAAGCUGCCUGAUGGAGGGGGAUAACUACUGGAAACGGUAGCUAAUACCGCAUAACGUCGCAAGACCAAAGAGGGGGACCUUCGGGCCUCUUGCCAUCAGAUGUGCCCAGAUGGGAUUAGCUAGUAGGUGGGGUAACGGCUCACCUAGGCGACGAUCCCUAGCUGGUCUGAGAGGAUGACCAGCCACACUGGAACUGAGACACGGUCCAGACUCCUACGGGAGGCAGCAGUGGGGAAUAUUGCACAAUGGGCGCAAGCCUGAUGCAGCCAUGCCGCGUGUAUGAAGAAGGCCUUCGGGUUGUAAAGUACUUUCAGCGGGGAGGAAGGUGUUGAGGUUAAUAACCUCAGCAAUUGACGUUACCCGCAGAAGAAGCACCGGCUAACUCCGUGCCAGCAGCCGCGGUAAUACGGAGGGUGCAAGCGUUAAUCGGAAUUACUGGGCGUAAAGCGCACGCAGGCGGUCUGUCAAGUCGGAUGUGAAAUCCCCGGGCUCAACCUGGGAACUGCAUUCGAAACUGGCAGGCUAGAGUCUUGUAGAGGGGGGUAGAAUUCCAGGUGUAGCGGUGAAAUGCGUAGAGAUCUGGAGGAAUACCGGUGGCGAAGGCGGCCCCCUGGACAAAGACUGACGCUCAGGUGCGAAAGCGUGGGGAGCAAACAGGAUUAGAUACCCUGGUAGUCCACGCCGUAAACGAUGUCGACUUGGAGGUUGUGCCCUUGAGGCGUGGCUUCCGGAGCUAACGCGUUAAGUCGACCGCCUGGGGAGUACGGCCGCAAGGUUAAAACUCAAAUGAAUUGACGGGGGCCCGCACAAGCGGUGGAGCAUGUGGUUUAAUUCGAUGCAACGCGAAGAACCUUACCUACUCUUGACAUCCAGAGAACUUUCCAGAGAUGGAUUGGUGCCUUCGGGAACUCUGAGACAGGUGCUGCAUGGCUGUCGUCAGCUCGUGUUGUGAAAUGUUGGGUUAAGUCCCGCAACGAGCGCAACCCUUAUCCUUUGUUGCCAGCGGUUAGGCCGGGAACUCAAAGGAGACUGCCAGUGAUAAACUGGAGGAAGGUGGGGAUGACGUCAAGUCAUCAUGGCCCUUACGAGUAGGGCUACACACGUGCUACAAUGGCGCAUACAAAGAGAAGCGACCUCGCGAGAGCAAGCGGACCUCAUAAAGUGCGUCGUAGUCCGGAUUGGAGUCUGCAACUCGACUCCAUGAAGUCGGAAUCGCUAGUAAUCGUAGAUCAGAAUGCUACGGUGAAUACGUUCCCGGGCCUUGUACACACCGCCCGUCACACCAUGGGAGUGGGUUGCAAAAGAAGUAGGUAGCUUAACCUUCGGGAGGGCGCUUACCACUUUGUGAUUCAUGACUGGGGUGAAGUCGUAACAAGGUAACCGUAGGGGAACCUGCGGUUGGAUCACCUCCUU